CUAGAAGUGUCAUUAAACGCCGUCAGAUGUAAAUUUUGAAAGACGACCAAGACACUUGUUGCGGACAUAAUGCAUGCAGUAUUUCUCCAAAACGAAGCGAUGUUUUCUGUAAGGGUUUCAUAUACCAUUCUUGAUUGAUAUCGGUCUUUGGAGAUCAUGCACUGGGUUUAUUUUGGACAUAAAUAUAUAGCCAGAUUUAUUAAUUAACCGAAAUAGUCCAACAGUCUGAGAAUCGACGUGCAUUGAAGAACUGGUUUCCUAGAGAUAAAAAAAAUCAAGGUCAUGUAUCGUCAGUAUAUCGAUCAGAGUAAUUAUUUUCCUGGAAAUUAAAAAAAUCAAGGUCAGGUAUUGUCAUUUAUCGAUCAGAUACCCGGAAUGGCAGAUACCAAGAAUGGAUAUUGAUUGAUAUACUAUCAUUCCCGUGGGAAAUUCUCAGCAAAGUCAAAGCAAUAUACCGAUACCAAGAAAAAUAAUGUUUUAUUAUUAUAACUGAUGGGGAAUCAACC
Molecule: non-coding RNA, 506 nt
Organism: Paramuricea clavata
Lineage: Eukaryota; Metazoa; Cnidaria; Anthozoa; Malacalcyonacea; Plexauridae
Source: the annotation of a GenBank genome assembly